UUCUUUCGGUUAUUUUCGUAAACUAAGCGACGGACACGCCCGAUCGGCCAUCCCGUGACUCUUGUUAAAGCAAUUCCUGAGAACGCCCUAAUUGCCGCGAGCAAUCCCUGGCCGCUGAUUGGCUGAGGCCCUUCCUCUCAUUAGCUCCUUUAACUUUAAAUGUGCUGCCUGCGGGAAAGAGAUUCCGCGGGUCGGAAGUUCGUGAGGUUGGUGUUAGUUGCUGUUUGGCUGAGGACGGUGAAGCGGGAACGAUUUUUUUGCGAAGUGUCUUUCCUUUGAGAAAACUGCCUGCGGGACGAGAUUAAACCGGAGUCCGAAAGGAGACAGCGCAGCCCCGUUCGAAAAGAAAUUGGUAAGGCUGUAGCCAGUAGAAGAAAGCACCCUUGUCUCCCAAGGAGGAUAAAGUCGUCAGGAUGUCUCAGCAGGGAGCUGUUCUCCAGAGCUACAAUAAUGAACUUGUGAAGUAUAUGGAAGAACUGUGUACACAGAAAAAUGAUAUAGAUUUGCAAAUUGGAAAACUGAUAGAAGACAAGGCUAAAAUUCUGAGUGAAAUUGAGGUGUUAACCAAACAAUUAGAACGUGUAUGUGAAAGUUUACUUUGGAAACACACCUUACAAAGGAAGCUUGAUAACAUUCUUUCUGAUGGAAUAUUAGCAUAUGACAAGAUUUUGGAUAGUUCUAAAAUGUUGAUAGAUGUUUUGAAAAAAGAAAUAGAGAAUUUAGACAAAUUGAUAGAAUUGAAAAGGCUAUUCAUUGAAUCGUACCCUGACUAAGCCAAUGCUAACACUGGGAAACUGUU
Molecule: long non-coding RNA, 799 nt
Organism: Ahaetulla prasina
Lineage: Eukaryota; Metazoa; Chordata; Lepidosauria; Squamata; Colubridae
Exons: 3
Source: RefSeq, a predicted model, not a curated record